CAAGUCGAACGAGAACUCCCUUCGGGGAGGAAAGUGGCGCACGGGUGCGUAACACGUGGAUAACCAACCAUUGGUUGGACAACACCGGGAAACUGGUGCUAAUACCAGAUGUGUCGCAGCUGUCUUCAGGCGGUUGCGAGAAAGGCCCGCAAGGGUCGCCAACGGACGGGUCCGCGUCCCAUCAGCUAGUUGGUGAGGUAAUGGCUCACCAAGGCAAAGACGGGUAGCUGGUCUGAGAGGAUGAUCAGCCACACUGGAACUGAGACACGGUCCAGACUCCUACGGGAGGCAGCAGUGGGGAAUAUUGCGCAAUGGGCGAAAGCCUGACGCAGCCACGCCGCGUGAGCGAUGAAGGUCUUCGGAUCGUAAAGCUCUGUGGGGGGAGAAGAAGAAAGCCGGUGAAGAGCCGGCCCUGACGGUAUCCCCUUAGCAAGCACCGGCUAACUCCGUG
Molecule: ribosomal RNA, 451 nt
Filed under: uncultured bacterium
Lineage: Bacteria
Description: bacterial SSU rRNA
Rfam family: Bacterial small subunit ribosomal RNA
Source: RNAcentral